This 726-nucleotide small RNA is filed under the name Pongo abelii (Sumatran orangutan). Its description in RNAcentral is "processed transcript". Lineage: Eukaryota; Metazoa; Chordata; Mammalia; Primates; Hominidae. The record is from RNAcentral.
AGUGCUUCUGGGCAGUAGAGGCGCGGGGUGCGGAGCUAGGGCGGCCGAGAGCCAUGGCGGCGGUAGUGGCGGCGGCGGCAGCGCGAGCCCGGAUCCUGCAGGUUUCUUCCAAGGUGAAAUCCAAUUCCACCUGGUAUUCAGCAUCUUCCUUCUCUUCUUCAGUGCCAACUGUAAAGCUCUUCAUUGAUGGGAAAUUUGUUGAAUCCAAAAGUGACAAAUGGAUUGAUAUCCACAACCCAGCCACCAAUGAGGUCAUUGGUCGGGUCCCUCAGGCCACCAAGGCAGAAAUGGAUGCAGCCAUUGCUUCCUGCAAACGUGCUUUUCCUGCAUGGGCAGACACUUCAGUAUUAAGCCGCCAGCAGGUCUUGCUCCGCUAUCAACAACUUAUUAAAGAAAACUUGGUAUGAAAUCUGAAUGGUAUGCUUUUCCAAACUGUCACCUAGGGCAUGUUUGUCACUCUCACAGAGACCUUUUCAGCCACCCUCCCUUACUCUGCAGUAUGCAGAGAUGUUGAUCAUGGCUCUCUCCCUUGUACUGCAUCUCCUCCAGUCUUAUUCUUCCUUGGCUACCUCAGAAUUUAAAAGAGGAACAUUCUUGCAUUAAUUUCUAUUUGUGUGUCUUCUCUCUAGAAAGAAAUUGCCAAGUUAAUCACAUUGGAACAAGGGAAGACCCUAGCUGAUGCUGAAGGAGAUGUAUUUCGAGGCCUUCGUAAGCUGGGAGCCCCUU